UACGGGGGGGGCAAGCGUUGUUCGGAAUUACUGGGCGUAAAGGGCUCGUAGGCGGUCGUUCAAGUCGAGUGUGAAAGCCCCCGGCUCAACUGGGGAGGGUCACUCGAUACUGAUCGACUUGAAGGCAGGAGAGGGAAGCGGAAUUCCCGGUGUAGUGGUGAAAUGCGUAGAUAUCGGGAGGAACACCAGUGGCGAAGGCGGCUUCCUGGCCUGUUCUUGACGCUGAGGCGCGAAAGCUAGGGGAGCAAACGGG
This 253-nucleotide ribosomal RNA is filed under the name uncultured bacterium. Its description in RNAcentral is "partial 16S ribosomal RNA". It matches the Rfam family "Bacterial small subunit ribosomal RNA", at positions 524 to 776 of the family's 1533-position model. The record is from RNAcentral.